Molecule: ribosomal RNA, 429 nt
Filed under: Chloroflexota bacterium
Lineage: Bacteria; Bacillati; Chloroflexota
Description: Chloroflexi bacterium partial 16S ribosomal RNA
Rfam family: Bacterial small subunit ribosomal RNA
Source: RNAcentral
UGGGGAAUAUUGCACAAUGGGCGCAAGCCUGAUGCAGCCAUGCCGCGUGUGUGAAGAAGGCCUUCGGGUUGUAAAGCACUUUCAGCGGGGAGGAAGGCGAUAAGGUUAAUAACCUUGUCGAUUGACGUUACCCGCAGAAGAAGCACCGGCUAACUCCGUGCCAGCAGCCGCGGUAAUACGGAGGGUGCAAGCGUUAAUCGGAAUUACUGGGCGUAAAGCGCACGCAGGCGGUCUGUCAAGUCGGAUGUGAAAUCCCCGGGCUUAACCUGGGAACUGCAUUCGAAACUGGCAGGCUAGAGUCUUGUAGAGGGGGGUAGAAUUCCAGGUGUAGCGGUGAAAUGCGUAGAGAGCUGGAGGAAUACCGGUGGCGAAGGCGGCCCCCUGGACAAAGACUGACGCUCAGGUGCGAAAGCGUGGGGAGCAAACAGG